Molecule: long non-coding RNA, 2864 nt
Filed under: Sus scrofa (pig)
Lineage: Eukaryota; Metazoa; Chordata; Mammalia; Artiodactyla; Suidae
Description: lncRNA (ENSSSCG00035027633.1)
Source: RNAcentral
UCUGUUUUCAUAUGGUUUCCGUAUUGGCAAAAAAAAAAAAAAAAAAAACAAAGCGAAAAGUUACCUUGCUAAUUCCCUUGCUAGCAAGGUAAUAUAAUUUAGCACAUGUUCAUGAGAAAAUUGUCUAAGAAAAUUUGUUCCCUGCUAGUUAUUUUCAAGGCUGUGAUAGUAACAUUCUGCUCUUUAAAAGUUACACAUUAGGUGAUAUGAUUACAUUACAGGAUUUUUUUUUGUAGGGCUGACUAUUCAGCAUUGUUAGAUAAGAAAAAAUUUUGAGUGAAAGAUAAAUGUGAGAAAAGAUGCUUCUAAUUGAACAAAUGCUUUUUUUUUUUUUUUUUUUUUUUUAAGGGCUUGGAUGUACUUCUGAAAGAGGUACAAGCUUUAGAGGGGAAAUUAUUUCAUUAAAACCGUGAUUUUACAUUAAAAGAAACACGUAUUCUCUGACACUUUAUUUCAAAUUCCUUAGCCCUUGGAAAGAGCCCACAUUUGAAGGCGGGUCCAAGGCGUGCCAGAACAGUCUCCUCCCUCCACCCCCUUCCUCCUUUCCCAAGCGCAGAGGUCCCCUCCUCUGCAGACAACAGCUGCUAGAUCCGAACGGGAGGAGUGCUUUUUGCAUUCCUGGCUGCCUGCUUGGGCUGCUGAAGGGGCUGCUGCCUUCUACCAGGAGAAGAAAAGGAUCUCAAAUCUUCCGGAUCACUUCCUCUCGUAGGAAACUAUUGAGCACAGGAAUAAAGAUGGCUGCUGAACCAGAAGACAAUUGCAUCAGCUUUGUGGAAAUGAAGUUUAUUAACAAUACACUUUACUUUGUAGCUGAAAACGAUGGUAAAGUAUAAAUUUAUUGAUUUCUCUUUCUCUAACAAAUAAAUAGCGACUUGAAUAAGCACCCCACAGGCACAUCCAUAUCAGCAUUCUCAUCUGAGAGAAACGGGUACCAAUCUAUUUAGAAGCUAAUAUUCCCUCUGGAUGUGACUCAGUAGCACUGCUUUGGAAUAAAGAUGACCAUAAGGGAUACAAAAAAGAAUUUCUAAUAAAAUAUGCUUUUCUACACCUUAGGAAUUUCUCAGGUAUUAGAAUCUACAAAAUUGACGCUGCCUGCCUGUUAUAUAGACCCUGAGGUUAGCAAAAAGUCAUGGAUUCUCUUGGGUACAUAGAAAAAGGGGAUUGAACCAUGAGAAUUGUUGUCCCAAAUCAGGAACAUCUUUCUUCAACCCUCAUCUCAGAAAUGCUCUGGGAAGAAGCUGGGAGACACCCAAGGUGCAGAGAAUUCUGGAUGGGCAGGUAGAGGAAACAUACCUAUAAGGUUGAGUCAUGAACUCUUCUUAAGUGUAUGUAGCUACACCUUGUCCUGGCAUUCAAGGAGGAUUGUAACCAUAUAUAGCCUGUGAUCCUCUAACAGACCCCUAGUUUGUUUGUUUUUUCUUUGUUUUUUUAGGGGUUUUUUUAGGGCCGCACUUGUGGCACAUGGAGGUUCCCAGGCUAGAGGUCUAGUCGGAGCUACACCUGCCAGACUAUGCCACAGCCACAGCAACACUGGAUCCUUAGCCCACUGAGCGAGGCCAGGGAUCAAACCUGCAUCUUCAUGAAUACUAGUCAGACUCAUUUCUGCUUAGCCAGAACGGAAACUCCCUCAUCAUGUUUCUUAAACAUUUAUUUAAUUCAGUAAAUGUGGGCAUCUGUAGUUCCGGCACUAUGAUAAGCAUUAUCAUACAAUGGUGAACAAAAAAUACUUCCUAUAAGAGAGAAGCAGGCACAUUAGGAAGGCAGCUGGAAUGUGGCAAGUUAAGUUUUGGAAAGGCCCAGGAUGCUAUGGGAGUAUAUAGUAGGGCACUUAAUUUAGCCAAUAGAUUCUGGGAGGAUAUUUUUAAGGAGGGACAGAAUUGAAGAGCAAAUAGGAAUUUAAGAAAAGGUAUUCUGGCCAGAGAGAAGAAAACAUGCAAAAAUCAAGAUAGGAAAGAAAGCAUGGCAUAAAUAAGGAAUUGAGAGUAAUUCACAAUGAGAGUAGAUUGGGAGUAGGAAAAUGAUGAGAGAAGAAUGAUAAAUGGGGUGCAGAUCAAGAAGAUUCUCUUAUUCCAAGAUAUGGAAUCUGGACCUUAUCUUUAGAGUAGUGGGGAUUCCUUAAGCACAAUAUGUAUGAUCUAGGAAGGAUUAGUUUGCUGUAACAAAGAGAUCCAAAGACUAGGAUUUCCCAUCGUGGCUCAGCAGUAAUGAACCUGACUGGUAGCCAUGAGGAUUCAGUUUCAAUCCCUGGCCUUGCUCAGUGGGUUAAGGAUCUGGCAUUGCUGUGAGCUGUGGCGUACAUCAGACACAGCUUGGAUGCCGCAUUGCUGUAGCUGUGGCUGUGGCAUAGGCUGGCAGCUGCAGCUCCAAUUUGACCCCUAGUCUGGCACCUUCCAUAUGCCACAGGUGUAGCCCUAAAAAGAAAAAAAAGAGAGAAAAAGAAAAAUUUUAAAUAAAAAUUAAAAAUCUAAAAAGAGAAUUGAUAUGGGGGCAAAAAAGAAGGGAUACUAAUUAAGAGGCUAUUGUUGUUGUCCCUAAAAGAAAUGAUGGUGGCAUGAGUUAAGGGAGGCAUAGUGGAGUGCCACUAAAGAGCUGUGAGUGGACUUUAGAAAUACUUGGAAGAAUCAACAGGACAUGGAUUUGGAAGAGGAUAGAAAGAAAGAGAAGAGAUUAUACCUACAUUUUUUUCACGUACGCAAUUUGUACCAUUCAACAAAAUAAGGAACACAGCAGGAAGAACAGAGUAAAGAGGUUUGCAGGGCAAAGAGGAAGAUAGAUGAUGAUAAUUUUGGAUCUUGUCUAUGGGACAUCUCAGUGGAGAUGUCCAGUAGAUUAUUGGACAGACGGUUCUGAACUCAGGAAAAAAA